This is a long non-coding RNA of Gymnodraco acuticeps, 840 nucleotides long. RefSeq lists it as uncharacterized. The record is from RefSeq and is a predicted model, not a curated record. Lineage: Eukaryota; Metazoa; Chordata; Actinopteri; Perciformes; Bathydraconidae. The transcript is spliced from 3 exons.
AGUUUUCCACCUGAAGCAGCUCUGUGGUCUUCUCUGUGUUUCCAGUUUAAAAGAGACCCAGCCGGAGAAGGAGCACUGAGAGCAGCAUGGAGGAGAACAAAGAGACCCCUGGAGCUCAGAAACCGAAAAGAAGAGAGAGAUGUCACAGCUGUCAGCAAUGUGACAAAUCCUUCACAACAUCUGGAAGCUUAAAUUGCCACCUUCGUAUUCACACUGGAGAAAAACCGUACAGCUGUGAAGAGUGUGGGAAAACGUUCACUACAUCAGGUGCUCUCCAAUCACAUCAACUAUUCACAUGGGAGAAAAACCGUACAGCUGUGAAGAGUGUGGGACAACUUUCACUACAUCAGGUGAUCUAAAAAAAGAUCACCAUAUUCACACUGGAGAAAAACCGUACAGCUGUGAAGAGUGUGGGAAAACUUUCACUACAUCAGGUGAUCUCAAAAAACAUCACCUAUUCACACUGGAGAAAAACCCUACAGCUGUGAAGAGUGUGGGAAAACAUUCACCAGAUCAGAUGCUCUCAAAUCACAUCACCGUAUUCACACUGGAGAAAAACCCUACAGCUGUGAAGAGUGUGGGAAAACAUUCACCAGAUCAGAUGCUCUCAAAUCACAUCACCAUAUUCACACUGGAGAAAAACCGUAUUGGUGUGAAGAGUGUGGGAAAACUUUCAUUACAUCAGGUGGUCUCAAAUCACAUCUUCGUGUUCACCACACAGGAGAAACACCAUAGUGUUCAUUAAUCUGCCGAGUAGUUUCUCCAAUAAUCUGUUUGUUUAAUAAAAUGUUGUGACUUUAAACUUUGAUUGGGAUGUUUUUGAUAGUUCCUGUUGAGUUA